UCUUGUCACAAAAUUACCCUGAAUGCGCCCAAUCGCAUUGGAUGUCAGAAGCUAAGCAGUGUUGAGCCUGGUUAGUGAUUGGAUGGGUGAUCAGGAUUUAUUCAGGGUUGCUAAAU
This 116-nucleotide ribosomal RNA is filed under the name Petromyzon marinus (sea lamprey). Lineage: Eukaryota; Metazoa; Chordata; Hyperoartia; Petromyzontiformes; Petromyzontidae. The record is from RNAcentral.